GCCUAGGAGCACGAGGACUCCAUUGCAGCUGCGCUGUCUGGCUGGCCGAGGGCUGCUUCUACUGCGGCUGCGCAACCUCGGCGCUCGUUCGUUUCACUUCUGCCAAAGGCUACUCCCUCACGCCGAGUUCCCUCGGGGCGUCUUUGUAGCGUACGGUUUCUC
Choloepus hoffmanni (Hoffmann's two-fingered sloth) is the source of this 162-nucleotide non-coding RNA. Lineage: Eukaryota; Metazoa; Chordata; Mammalia; Pilosa; Megalonychidae. The record is from Rfam.